UGAGUGGAGUAACUCAUUACGUUUUUAAAGCAAAUAAAUGGACAUUUUAGCAUGAUUCACGCAUCAUUAAUGCCAUGAGAUAUACUAGGUUGUUGCAUUAGAAUUCACGAAUAUGUUGCAUUGCAUAAUCUACUGUUGUUGUUGUGGAUGAAUGUUGGAUGAUCUAUAGCCCUCGAUCUAUGAUGUGACGAUGCGAUAUGUACGGUACGGAAUGUAAGACCAGUGGAACCCAUUCUACAUUCGCUGGCACUAUGUAAGAGAAAGUCCAAGACCCAUUCUACGUUCUGGCACAUUGGAAUGUUAUGUUAUGCUAUGUAAGAGAAAGACCAGGACCCAUUCUACGUUCUGGCACAGUUGGACCAUGUAGAGGGCUAUUGGUGAUAAAUUCAUCCUUGAUGUGAUAUGAUUGUGAUGUGAUGCAUUCCAUGUUAUCAUAUGUUUUAAAAGUUUUAUUAUUCUGCUCACUGGGC
RNAcentral lists this long non-coding RNA (470 nucleotides) under Manihot esculenta (cassava). RNAcentral describes it as "long non-coding RNA (MESC_LNC002376)". Lineage: Eukaryota; Viridiplantae; Streptophyta; Magnoliopsida; Malpighiales; Euphorbiaceae. The record is from RNAcentral.